ACAGCUUUGGACAAAAGUCUGUAGCCAGUGCAUUCGUAACUCCCCUUACACAAGGGCUGACUGAGGCUGUGGGAAGACAUUUUACUCAUUUGCUUUCUUUUUUCUUAGAGUCAUCUUGUCCUUUUCUCAGGUGUUUAUCACCUAUUAUCCUUUCACCUGUAUUGGUACUCUGGUGGGAGAAAGUCCCAGGAAUUGUCCGCCGGUAUAGGCCUCAUUAAAUGCAGCACU
Molecule: non-coding RNA, 228 nt
Organism: Ornithorhynchus anatinus (platypus)
Lineage: Eukaryota; Metazoa; Chordata; Mammalia; Monotremata; Ornithorhynchidae
Source: Rfam